RNAcentral lists this ribosomal RNA (23 nucleotides) under Phoma sojicola. Its description in RNAcentral is "partial 28S ribosomal RNA". Lineage: Eukaryota; Fungi; Ascomycota; Dothideomycetes; Pleosporales; Didymellaceae. The record is from RNAcentral.
UUGACCUCGGAUCAGGUAGGGAA